This 495-nucleotide long non-coding RNA is filed under the name Capsella rubella. RNAcentral describes it as "long non-coding RNA (CRUB_LNC003568)". The record is from RNAcentral. Lineage: Eukaryota; Viridiplantae; Streptophyta; Magnoliopsida; Brassicales; Brassicaceae.
AUCUCUGCAUUACUAGCUAGGCGAAGCCGUCGUCUGAGUCAGUCGCAGCAAAACGAGCAGCUCUUCAUGCAUGCCCCGUACCAUAACAAGAAUCUUUUUCCAUUUAAGUCAUGGUUGUGUUAAAAAAUGUUGGAUCGGGAGAAAAUUCAGGAAAGUACAUUUUGAUAUUUAAAAAAAAAAAAAUUAAAAAGAAUAAAAAAAGAAAUGUACUCUCAUAUGAAAACGUAAACGAAAGAAUUAAUUAUGAAAAAACAAAAGUAUGAAUUAAUAAUCUAUAGAUAUGUAUGUAUGGGAGUGGACCCAUAUUAAUUUGUUGUUAUUUAACAAAAGAAAAUUUUGUCGUACGUACAGUCUAAAAAUAGUUUAGGGGUUUCUGUUUUUUUUUUUUACAGGAUAACUUUUUUCUUUGUUUUCCACUGUACAGUUUAUUACAGUAGAAGAAGAAGAGUUUUCACGGGUUUAUUACUUUAUUGGAGUUUUGAACUUGCGGCUUUU